This 96-nucleotide ribosomal RNA is filed under the name Caerostris darwini. Lineage: Eukaryota; Metazoa; Arthropoda; Arachnida; Araneae; Araneidae. The record is from RNAcentral.
AUGUUAUACCGGUUCUCGUUAGAUCACCGAAGUCAAGCAUCAUUGGGCACGGUCAGUACUUGGGUGGGUGACCACCUGGGAACACCGCGUGCCGUU